UUUAAUUGAAGAGUUUGAUCAUGGCUCAGAUUGAACGCUGGCGGCAGGCCUAACACAUGCAAGUCGAGCGGCAGCGACUUAACUGAACCUUCGGGGAACGUUAAGGGCGGCGAGCGGCGGAC
RNAcentral lists this ribosomal RNA (122 nucleotides) under Photobacterium damselae. RNAcentral's name for it is "partial 16S ribosomal RNA". It matches the Rfam family "Bacterial small subunit ribosomal RNA", at positions 1 to 103 of the family's 1533-position model. RNAcentral also lists the same sequence under 2 other names. Lineage: Bacteria; Pseudomonadati; Pseudomonadota; Gammaproteobacteria; Vibrionales; Vibrionaceae. The record is from RNAcentral.